ACUGUGCUUCCUGAUCCCGGUAAAACUGGGUAGGCUUCCGUAAUAUGUCUUUUUCCUGCAAAAAUUCCAGAACAGAGUUUAAUAAGAAAACGAAUGUGGUAGAAGUUCGAGUCUGAAUAAAGUACCAACAACGUUUCAAACCCUAUAAAAACUCCGCAAUUUGGUUGGCAUCCUCCCCAGUUCUCUGUUUCUGCAUCUUUUUCUGCAACAAUGGCAGCUUACGGGGAAGAAGGGUAUGUGGCCUGAAUACUUGAUAGCCUGAUAAAGCCGUUAUGGAUUCGUUUUGGAUUGAAAUUCUUUGUAGCGAAAUCGAUUUGGAAUUGUAAUAAAUCUACCACGUGAUCUUGCUGCCGUAUUUUUAGGUGAUUAAUGGAUGAGUUAUAUGAUCAAUAGAUUUUUUAGUUGAUUAAUGGAUGAGUUAUAUGAUCAAGAGAUAUGGGUUUGCUUUAGAUUCGAGUUCUUCGCAGGGAAACCGAUCUGGAACUACUAAUCGAGCCAUUAAGAGAAAAAAAAAAUGAGUAUCAAGCCUAAUUCUCACAUCUAUAGCCAAACAAGCCUCCUGCAUCUUUCCUAGAAAAAUGCCAACAAGGUGAAAUUUGAGAGCGUAGUCAUUCGUGUGGUUCAUGGUAUGCAAGCCUAUAAUAUAAUCUCUUUAAGAUGUCUCUUAUAUCUCGCUGAAAAUUGCAUUAAGAUACACAGAUUUGAUGUAUCUUUAAAUACAAUUGAGAUGGAUUAUCAGUUAUUGGUUGCCAACUACUUUGCUUAUUAUGUUGGAAGUUGUACGGGAUGAUCUUCGAGUAAUCAACUAUCUUAAUAAACUCCAGGUAUCUCCAACUUUUCUAAGAUGCGUACUUUACUUUAUUUGUUUUUAAGUUCUAUGGAAAUUUGCAGCCGGGUACAUCUGUUGCAGCAUGUUUUCGUGGUUCUCAGUGACAAUAAACCAGUAUGCAAUUUUAAGAGAGUGUUUGGAUCCAAUAAAAGGUACAUUUUCUUACUUCCUCAUUCUAAGAUUUUGUACUGAUUGGUCCAGUUUGAUUGUAAGGCAUCAUAUAAGUCUUCACACUAAAUGUCCAGCUGAUGACUGAUUUUUUUGACACAAUGACUCAUAUAAUUUCUCACAUCUGAAUGGUUUUAGCAUGUCGGGUUACCAUAGUGGAGCAUCACUCAUAUAACAAAUCAAAUGUUUCAGUCUUGGGUGUCGUUUUUCUCUCUAAUCCAGAGGUAAAAAAAACCAAAGCAGCAUCAAGAGAUUGGAAAUCAUUAUAGCUAUCAGAGAAAUGCAAGAAAAGGACCUUAAAACUACCAACCUUUACUGCAGAUGGUUGUAGAUACCAUGAGGAUGCUUCCAAUCAAAGUUACUGCAAAAAAAAUGAAGAUUUUGGGUUAAGAACGUAAGCACUAAAUUAUGGAGUUCUUUAUAAAGAUUGGUGCGUAUCAAUGAAGAAAUUUAAUGAAAAUCGUCAAGAACAACCGGAAAUGAGGAUAUAAUCAUCAAAUCCUGAUGGGAAAGGUUAGUUGUCGUGUGUUUGCUGCUGCGCGCACAAGCUAAAUUUCAUGUGUAAUUGCUGGAUAUACAAGCUAAAUUGCAUGAUAUCGUUGACUGUGUCAAGUACUUACAACUUCAUAUUAAGGAAAACUAUAUGUAGAACAAACUUGUGAGACUUGCAUGCGUCUUUCUUCAGGUCCUCAUUCGGUAUAAUAUAAUUAAUGGUUUCAGAUAACUUCAUAAAAGCUAAUUGCUUAAAUGGUCUCGCUGGAAUUGGAAUUGACGCUGAAUACACAAAUCAUACGCAUGUGUAACUAUCAAUUACACUAGAUAGAUGCAUAUGUAACUCUCAAUUACACUAGACAGAUGCGUGUGUAACUUCUAGUUACACAUGCUAAGAAAUUAUUAUAAAUGAAUA
Papaver somniferum (opium poppy) is the source of this 1904-nucleotide RNA transcript. RefSeq lists it as uncharacterized. The transcript is spliced from 7 exons. The record is from RefSeq and is a predicted model, not a curated record. NCBI's taxonomy places the organism in Eukaryota, Viridiplantae, Streptophyta, Magnoliopsida, Ranunculales, Papaveraceae.